Dipodomys ordii (Ord's kangaroo rat) is the source of this 105-nucleotide small nuclear RNA. Lineage: Eukaryota; Metazoa; Chordata; Mammalia; Rodentia; Heteromyidae. The record is from Ensembl.
GUGCUCACUUCAGCAGCACACAUACUAAAAUUGGAACAAGACAGAGAUUAGCAUGGUCCCUGCAUAAGGAUGACAUGCAAAGUUUUACAAUAGAACAAUGGAUGA